Rattus norvegicus (Norway rat) is the source of this 596-nucleotide long non-coding RNA. NCBI's taxonomy places the organism in Eukaryota, Metazoa, Chordata, Mammalia, Rodentia, Muridae. The record is from Ensembl.
CACAGAGCUCGUUCGACAAGCCGAAACAGGAGAAGGUUCUCACUACAGGCUUUAUAAUUUACUGUUAGGUGCUCUCCGUCACGUGUGGAAUCUCUCCAGUCCACUAGAAAACACCAAACAUGAACCAGCAGCUGCAGUCCAGCCCGCUCUGCAGGCACCACUCAUGAGUCAGCAAGGUCAGUUCAAUCAGAAGAGACCGCCAAUUGACCAGAGUCUGUGGAAGCAGCAAGAAGCCACAGGAAUUGUAGGAGAAGUUCUUUGGAUCUGCAAAAAAGAAGGGCAGAACCCAUUUCCCCCCAGUGUACUCCUAAAGCACAUGGUACAUUACUGAGCACAUAGUGGCUGUUCGCAACUACAGCGAGUGAAUCUAUAAACCAUCGAAUGAGUGGAAGGACUUGCCGUUCAGUGGACCACCUCCUGUAAUAGGAUGACUCUCUACACCUCAAGAUUCUCAGCUCGCGUCUGUAGACUCUCAUCGGAUAACGUGAUGUCACACGAGCAAUCAGGCGACCUGGAGGUCUCCUAGAUGAUCUCCUUGUUCCUCCCUCCUGGCUAAGAAGUGACAGCUCAUUUAAAAAAAAAUCAUAAACAAAACC